UACGGAGGGUCCAAGCGUUAUCCGGAUUCAUUGGGUUUAAAGGGUCCGCAGGCGGGGAAAUAAGUCAGUGGUGAAAUCCUACAGCUUAACUGUAGAACUGCCAUUGAUACUGUUUCUCUUGAGUAUAGAUGAAGUGGGCGGAAUGUGUCAUGUAGCGGUGAAAUGCAUAGAUAUGACACAGAACACCAAUUGCGAAGGCA
Molecule: ribosomal RNA, 200 nt
Filed under: uncultured bacterium
Lineage: Bacteria
Description: partial 16S ribosomal RNA
Rfam family: Bacterial small subunit ribosomal RNA
Source: RNAcentral